GACGAACGCUGGCGGCGUGCUUAACACAUGCAAGUCGAACGGAAAGGCCCUGCUUUUGUGGGGUGCUCGAGUGCGAACGGGUGAGUAACACGUGAGUAACCUGCCCUUGACUUUGGGAUAACUUCAGGAAACUGGGGCUAAUACCGGAUAGGAGCUCCUGCUGCAUGGUGGGGGUUGGAAAGUUUCGGCGGUUGGGGAUGGACUCGCGGCUUAUCAGCUUGUUGGUGGGGUAGUGGCUUACCAAGGCUUUGACGGGUAGCCGGCCUGAGAGGGUGACCGGCCACAUUGGGACUGAGAUACGGCCCAGACUCCUACGGGAGGCAGCAGUGGGGAAUAUUGCACAAUGGGCGGAAGCCUGAUGCAGCAACGCCGCGUGCGGGAUGACGGCCUUCGGGUUGUAAACCGCUUUCGCCUGUGACGAAGCGUGAGUGACGGUAAUGGGUAAAGAAGCACCGGCUAACUACGU
Molecule: ribosomal RNA, 466 nt
Filed under: uncultured bacterium
Lineage: Bacteria
Description: partial 16S ribosomal RNA
Rfam family: Bacterial small subunit ribosomal RNA
Source: RNAcentral